CGGCGAGGGGAGUGAAAAAGAACCUGAAACCGUGUACGUACAAGCAGUGGGAGCACAGGUUUACCUGUGUGACUGCGUACCUUUUGUAUAAUGGGUCAGCGACUUAUAUUCUGUAGCAAGGUUAACCGAAUAGGGGAGCCGGAGGGAAACCGAGUCUUAAUUGGGCGUUAAGUUGCAGGGUAUAGACCCGAAACCCGGUGAUCUAGCCAUGGGCAGGUUGAAGGUUGGGUAACACUAACUGGAGGACCGAACCGACUAAUGUUGAAAAAUUAGCGGAUGACCUGUGGCUGGGGGUGAAAGGCCAAUCAAACCGGGAGAUAGCUGGUUCUCCCCGAAAGCUAUUUAGGUAGCGCCUCGUGAAUUCAUCUCCGGGGGUAGAGCACUGUUUCGGCUAGGGGGCCAUCCCGGCUUACCAACCCGAUGCAAACUGCGAAUACCGGAGAAUGUUAUCACGGGAGACACACGGCGGGUGCUAACGUCCGUCGUGAAGAGGGAAACAACCCAGACCGCCAGCUAAGGUCCCAAAGUCAUGGUUAAGUGGGAAACGAUGUGGGAAGGCCCAGACAGCCAGGAUGUUGGCUUAGAAGCAGCCAUCAUUUAAAGAAAGCGUAAUAGCUCACUGGUCGAGUCGGCCUGCGCGGAAGAUGUAACGGGGCUAAACCAUGCACCGAAGCUGCGGCAGCGA
Molecule: ribosomal RNA, 685 nt
Filed under: Salmonella enterica
Lineage: Bacteria; Pseudomonadati; Pseudomonadota; Gammaproteobacteria; Enterobacterales; Enterobacteriaceae
Description: bacterial LSU rRNA
Rfam family: Bacterial large subunit ribosomal RNA
Source: RNAcentral